Triticum aestivum (bread wheat) is the source of this 1685-nucleotide long non-coding RNA. RefSeq lists it as uncharacterized. The record is from RefSeq and is a predicted model, not a curated record. Lineage: Eukaryota; Viridiplantae; Streptophyta; Magnoliopsida; Poales; Poaceae. The transcript has 4 exons.
GUAGAAUACAGAGAAAAGAAUACGGCGUUCGUCGCCGGCGGGGCAUCCGUUGCCCGGCAGGCGUUUGUCGCCCGAUUCAGAUGCACUUGCAGAGUAAUGACAUUACGUGGAGAAAUUAAUCAACCGGAUGUUACAGCACUCAACCAAAAUUUGCUCCAUCAAGCGCGACGAGGGCGAGCAUCCAGAGUACAUCAUAUGCGGAACACCUGGCGGGAUCCAGUACUUUGGAGAGCUUGAAGAGCAUAGUUACUGCUGCAAUGAGCAUCAUGUCUACACAUUUGUCAGUUCCUGAACGAUGCCCAGCAGCAGGAACUCAUGGGCCCAAAUAACGUGGACCGAAGCUGCACGAGGGACUAGGCCUUCUCGUUUUCCUUCCUUUUCUCUUUUUCUAGCGAUCGGGGGACUCCACACACAUAAAACCAGCCAACGACAGCGUAUGCGUACAAAUCUUUUAGCGCAAAAUCAAGGUAGGGCGGGCGCCCUGCCUCGCCCUACCGGGAGCCCCGCCUGUGCCCUCAGGCAUGAUCAGUGGCGAAUCUUGGAAGAAAAUCGAGGGCGGGCUCAAAGUUCACAGUGCGAAAAAAAAGCCACCGACUCCCAAUUCUUUUGUCCAAAGAAGGUUAAUAUUUACUGUAAUCUUUUGGAUUUUUUUUGAAAAUAUCAAAUGUUUGACCUUUCUCGCAAAAUAGCCAUCAUUUCGAACUAAUAUAGUAACUUGUUUUACCAUGCCAAAUCUAGCCGCUUGUGAUGGAUUCUUGAAAAGAAAACAAGGGAAACAAAAAGCAGCCUCCUUUUUCACAUUGCCUUUUUUGAAUCUUGUCGUUAUUUAUGUGGUCUUGGAAUUUGCAGACCAUGGCUCGGAAGGGCAUGACAAGACUGUUCACAGAGGAAAGUUUGGAGAGGCCAACCGACUCGGUACUGACGUCGGCCUCCAAUGGACAAUCAUCUCCACCCGUACCUCAAGGGCGAGUAAAGAGACCGCGUGCACUUGCUAAGGAACCUUUGCAAGCUGGAAGGUCAAAUCAGUCAACAUAUGCGUCCUCUGGACUCUCUCAGGCAAAUGAGAGCAUUGCAGAUGAGGGGAUUGCAGAUUUAGGCAUUCCAAAAGGGGGCAUUCCUGAAGAGGAUGUUCCAGAAAUGGGUGAUCAUAGGAAGAAGAAACCGGGUGAUCAUAGGAAGAAGAGUCCGAACAACAUCACACGAUGCAGGCCCAUGGAAAUUAAGGGUCUCCAAAAUUCACUCGAACCGCGUCACGUUGCUAUGAUCGAGGAAAGAGAAUGGGAUGCCCCUCUAAAAUUACAAGUGAUGGAAGCACUAAGAACUCAGACUGUCAAGGAUAUGGCUAUGCUUAUUGAUGAAAAAGGGAGACUUGAUCUGAAAGGCACAUAUAUUGAUCUGUAUGAGCUGGCACCAUAUGUGAUGGGCGAUCCCAAUGAAGGUGAUUUUGUGGGACCUGCAGUUGGGAUUCCUAUAGGUUUUGAGGAAUUGAAAGCGAUGAUCAAACGGCCCCCAUCUGAUCCUCACUCAAAACGGUGGGUCCUGACCACGAAUGAAUUAAAGGAGUUGUUGAUAGAUUUGUCCCAGAAGAAUAAUCCGGCUGACGAUGAAAAAGUUAUGUGUCUUUACAGGCUUUAUGUGUGGGCUUUGAUCAAUGCACCAAGUUGUGCCAGUACUGCUAAUAUGAA